AUGAUCUUAGAGAUCUUUUCCAACCUUACUGAUUCUCUGAUUCUCUUCCAGAAUGCAAGAUUCACCUCUGAAGGGAGGCUUGUGUCCUGCUUAAACUUGUUUAAACUCACUGACAUUUUCAACCUGACGCAUUUUGGUUUUUUGCCUCCCAGGGGCCAAGCUCUCUGGAAACCACGGUCCCGUGUUGCCCCUCCCACUGAAAACAACUUAUCCCUCCCUGUACAGGAGGGGAAUAGUGUGACGUUGGCUCUGACCAGCAAUGCUUUGUCAGCUGGGAAAAUCCCAGUGCAAGCUGAGCUCUGUGUGUGCAGACAGGAGGAGGCACUGGCAGCGUGGCUGCAGCUGCACGGUUACGCAGGAUGCGGCCCCGUGAUGCCUGGUGUUGGGUGGCCAUGCUGCUGCUCGUCCUGUUCAGCAACACUGCUGGUGGCCGACGUGGAGCUGGAGGAAGAGCUGGGGGACGAGGAGGAGGAGGAGGAGGUGGAGGGGCAGGAGGGCUACGCGGGGGCUUUCGGUCCAUCUCCCGUGGAGGGAACACCGCAGGCCGAGGCUCCAAGAUGGCAAGUGCCAUCGCAGCUGGUGCUGCUGCAGGAUACGGGAUGGGGCUCCUGGGGCGCCCGCGACCCUCCCGCCUUGGUCAUGGCCCCCCGGCCCAACGGCAGCCCCCACCAGCUGGGGGGUUCCACGCUGCAGGCUGGCCGGACCUGGGGGCCAAGCGGGGGCCCCCCAGCCGAGCCCCCAGGGGACCGUGCGGUGGCAUUGUCCCCACUCUACUGCUGGCAAACGCCAUCUGCUUUGUCAACCAUGGGAUGUAACACCGAGAAUUGAUGUGGGGAGGGGGCACAGCACCCUCCAAGAUGAAACCAUGGGCGUUUGGUCACGUGCGGCUGUGCUGGGAGGUGGGAUGGGGAUUGGGGAGGGGGGAAAUGCUCUGCUGCUGUCUCGAUUCCUUUGGACCCUCCGCCAGCAGCCAUCCCCAUGCUCAUGGCAACCUUGGGAUCCUGCAAACCCAUCGAGCACACAAAGAAACAAAUACUUGCAAGGAAACUUCAGUAUUUCUACCCACACACUGGGCAGACACAUCUGGAUCGACCCCACCAGCCUCGGUGCUUGGCUCUGGUUUUGCAUGGCGUGGCAAAACCAGGAAAGAUGUUGAGAAAAGAUGUUCCUUUCCCCAAAGAAGAGCACUGGGACUCUGUUGGGGACAUGGGUCUCCAAAGUGGACCCCUCCAACUUGCAAUAAAGUUUGGUUUGGAGACA
This 1260-nucleotide long non-coding RNA is filed under the name Numida meleagris (helmeted guineafowl). RNAcentral describes it as "lncRNA (ENSNMEG00000018117.1)". Lineage: Eukaryota; Metazoa; Chordata; Aves; Galliformes; Numididae. The record is from RNAcentral.